CAAAAUAUAUAAUUUCGCUACAAUUACGGGCACUUCUCAAAUUCCUCUUUUUCAAAACGACAACCACCAUAGAACAAAAAUUUGGAAGCUCGGUCUUCUUCGCGCUGCAAUCAUGUCCAACGUCGCAGCCCGUAUGGCCGUGGCGCAGAACUGCACCUUCCCUUCGGUCUUCUGCGAACCGGGGAGACGGUUAUCAACGAAAGCGGAGAACCCAACUCAAGACCCCGCCGUCCGAUCAGAUGCACGACGCCUCACCGAUCGAUCCAUUUCUUCGAACCCCAACCGCAGGGUUUGGUGUAUGGGAAGCUGCUCGGAAACUCGAGGAAUACGCUGAAGAACGAUGUUGUGAAUAUGCUGGAAGGCUGUAAUUUGAGGCUGGAGGAUGUUAAAGUUGAUUACAAUCAAGCCUUUACGUCGAUGGGGAUGGUAGUGCAGUUCCAGUCAUGGAAAGCUUUUGAUAAUGCAGCUAGGGUAUGCUGAUUCUGGGUUUGUGAAUGACAGGCUAACCGAUCGCAGUGGGACAAUCUUACUUCCUAUGAUGGAAAAACUGUUUUACUCAAGGAAUCCCUCAAACUGCAGCUCCAGAAGAUGUAGAACGAUUUUUGUCUGGUUGUGAAUACAACUCGUCUUCCCUCCAGAUAGUUUUCAGGUCUUUCCCAGAAUCCUCUAAAUUUGCGACAGUUCGCUGUACUUCUCAAACUGUGGUAAUAUAUGCAUUACUUGCUAAGAAAAAAGGCCCCUGCCAGAAUGGUCAGAUUUUGAUGCGCGCUCUCCAGUAAUCCUGGUUUGAGAUAAGAUUAUGUAUUUUUUGAGACCGUGUUUUGUUUACUGGAUUCAAUUCAACAAUUGAAAUGUUCAUUCCUUUUGUAGCAAUGGGUAUCCCAUUCUUGCUUUUAA
Non-coding RNA from Malus domestica (apple), 897 nucleotides. NCBI's taxonomy places the organism in Eukaryota, Viridiplantae, Streptophyta, Magnoliopsida, Rosales, Rosaceae. The record is from RefSeq and is a predicted model, not a curated record.